Molecule: small RNA, 28 nt
Filed under: Bombyx mori (domestic silkworm)
Lineage: Eukaryota; Metazoa; Arthropoda; Insecta; Lepidoptera; Bombycidae
Description: ovarian small RNA-18507
Source: RNAcentral
UAAAUUGAGUCAUGAUGUCCGGGCAAAA